Molecule: ribosomal RNA, 1372 nt
Filed under: uncultured bacterium
Lineage: Bacteria
Description: bacterial SSU rRNA
Rfam family: Bacterial small subunit ribosomal RNA
Source: RNAcentral
GAUGAACGCUGGCGGCGUGCCUAAUACAUGCAAGUCGAGCGAACGGACGAGAAGCUUGCUUCUCUGAUGUUAGCGGCGGACGGGUGAGUAACACGUGGAUAACCUACCUAUAAGACUGGGAUAACUUCGGGAAACCGGAGCUAAUACCGGAUAAUAUUUUGAACCGCAUGGUUCAAAAGUGAAAGACGGUCUUGCUGUCACUUAUAGAUGGAUCCGCGCUGCAUUAGCUAGUUGGUAAGGUAACGGCUUACCAAGGCAACGAUGCAUAGCCGACCUGAGAGGGUGAUCGGCCACACUGGAACUGAGACACGGUCCAGACUCCUACGGGAGGCAGCAGUAGGGAAUCUUCCGCAAUGGGCGAAAGCCUGACGGAGCAACACCGCGUGAGUGAUGAAGGUCUUCGGAUCGUAAAACUCUGUUAUUAGGGAAGAACAUAUGUGUAAGUAACUGUGCACAUCUUGACGGUACCUAAUCAGAAAGCCACGGCUAACUACGUGCCAGCAGCCGCGGUAAUACGUAGGUGGCAAGCGUUAUCCGGAAUUAUUGGGCGUAAAGCGCGCGUAGGCGGUUUUUUAAGUCUGAUGUGAAAGCCCACGGCCCAACCGUGGAGGGUCAUUGGAAACUGGAAAACUUGAGUGCAGAAGAGGAAAGUGGAAUUCCAUGUGUAGCGGUGAAAUGCGCAGAGAUAUGGAGGAACACCAGUGGCGAAGGCGACUUUCUGGUCUGUAACUGACGCUGAUGUGCGAAAGCGUGGGGAUCAAACAGGAUUAGAUACCCUGGUAGUCCACGCCGUAAACGAUGAGUGCUAAGUGUUAGGGGGUUUCCGCCCCUUAGUGCUGCAGCUAACGCAUUAAGCACUCCGCCUGGGGAGUACGACCGCAAGGUUGAAACUCAAAGGAAUUGACGGGGACCCGCACAAGCGGUGGAGCAUGUGGUUUAAUUCGAAGCAACGCGAAGAACCUUACCAAAUCUUGACAUCCUUUGACAACUCUAGAGAUAGAGCCUUCCCCUUCGGGGGACAAAGUGACAGGUGGUGCAUGGUUGUCGUCAGCUCGUGUCGUGAGAUGUUGGGUUAAGUCCCGCAACGAGCGCAACCCUUAAGCUUAGUUGCCAUCAUUAAGUUGGGCACUCUAAGUUGACUGCCGGUGACAAACCGGAGGAAGGUGGGGAUGACGUCAAAUCAUCAUGCCCCUUGUGAUUUGGGCUACACACGUGCUACAAUGGACAAUACAAAGGGCAGCGAAACCGCGAGGUCAAGCAAAUCCCAUAAAGUUGUUCUCAGUUCGGAUUGUAGUCUGCAACUCGACUACAUGAAGCUGGAAUCGCUAGUAAUCGUAGAUCAGCAUGCUACGGUGAAUACGUUCCCGGGUCU